UACGUAGGUGACAAGCGUUGUCCGGAUUUACUGGGCGUAAGAGCGCGCAGGCGGUCGUUCAAGUCGAGUGUGAAAGCCCCCGGCUCAACUGGGGAGGGUCACUCGAUACUGAUCGACUCGAAGGCAGGAGAGGGUAGUGGAAUUCCCGGUGUAGUGGUGAAAUGCGUAGAUAUCGGGAGGAACACCAGUGGCGAAGGCGACUACCUGGCCUGUUCUUGACGCUGAGGCGCGAAAGCUAGGGGAGCAAACGGG
This 252-nucleotide ribosomal RNA is filed under the name uncultured bacterium. RNAcentral's name for it is "partial 16S ribosomal RNA". It matches the Rfam family "Bacterial small subunit ribosomal RNA", at positions 524 to 776 of the family's 1533-position model. The record is from RNAcentral.